CUAAGACUGAAUACACUGUUUGUAAUAAUUGGUCAGGUUUUAUUGAGUUGUUGGCUGUGGUUUAAUAUAUUUAAAAAUUCAGUGAAUACAGCUACAAAACUACUCUUUUAUAUGAUUUUAGGAAGACUUUUAUGCUGUUGUGGAUUGAGCAUACAAGAUUGAUCCUCUACGCUGUAUAUCAAUGCAUGGAAUAACAGAGCGCUAUCUAUCUGGUCAGAAAGCUGAUGCAGCAGGGUUUUUUGUUGAUGAAGCUUGCCAUCAAAUUGAAAGAAAUGAAAAGGCUCAACGGGUGUCCUCUCAUAUAUUCCCAGCCAUUUAUGCAAAGUUUGGAACAUAGAAAGAGAGAAGUANAAUAGUAUCUCUAAUGGCAUGAAAGGAUCUCAACAUGGUAUUUUUGUCUCUAUUAUAAAUGUUACAGUAAAAUUUCUCUAUUCUGAUACCUACCUUUUGCAAACUGCACUGGGUUAGUUCACUUUGGGUUCCUGAAAUUACAUGAUUUUUCAAUUUUUUCUUGGAAAAUUUACUUUUCCGGUUGAGCUNACACACACACAUUUGUAGUACAAGUUGGGCAUGAAUUUUAAUUUUUUAAACUGUAUUAAAUUUGGUGUAAGAUCAAUGUAUUAAUUAGGUACAGUUCUAUACUCAGAUUGGUUAAAAUCAUUUCAAUGGAGAAUGAUAUUUAUGAGAUAAAGGUUUUGUUUUGGAAGCAAUUAGAAGUUAGUGUUGCAAUUUUUUCAUUCUAGUAUGUAUU
Vigna radiata var. radiata (mung bean) is the source of this 751-nucleotide long non-coding RNA. RefSeq lists it as uncharacterized. The transcript has 3 exons. The record is from RefSeq and is a predicted model, not a curated record. Lineage: Eukaryota; Viridiplantae; Streptophyta; Magnoliopsida; Fabales; Fabaceae.